Non-coding RNA from Pantherophis guttatus, 333 nucleotides. NCBI's taxonomy places the organism in Eukaryota, Metazoa, Chordata, Lepidosauria, Squamata, Colubridae. The record is from RefSeq and is a predicted model, not a curated record.
UUCAUUGGGUGAAUUUAUCUUCAACUCUGAACAAAAGAAGGAUUACAAAUUUAAGAAGCAAAAGAAUUUGAAAUAAACAGCAAAGAAGAUAUUAUUAUGGAUCAACUGCAAGAAAAACUCACGAAGGCUAGAACUGCUUUCCUUCAGAAAAACACUCUGCAGUAGCAAAAGGAAAAAGCAAAUAUAAAAACAGCCCAGAUAUAUUGAAGCAUUAAAGCAAGACAGAAACCAGGAGGGAAAAAAAUGAGGCGUGUUGAACUUUGAACCAGUCCUCAUGAUUGCUGCAUAGCAUCGUAUAUUGUAAGUGGUGUUCCUGUCGGGUGCAAGAGCCUG